RNAcentral lists this ribosomal RNA (255 nucleotides) under uncultured bacterium. RNAcentral describes it as "partial 16S ribosomal RNA". It matches the Rfam family "Bacterial small subunit ribosomal RNA", at positions 524 to 776 of the family's 1533-position model. The record is from RNAcentral.
AACGUAGGUGGCAAGCGUUAUCCGGAUUUACUGGGCGUAAAGCGUGUGCAGGCGGGUGGACAAGUGGUGUAUGAAAUCGCCAGGCUAAACCUGGCGGGGUUAUGCCAGACUGUUUAUCUGGAGUGCGAGAGAGGGGCGUGGAAUUCCGGGUGUAGUGGUGAAAUGCGUAGAGAAUCCGGAGGAACCCCAGAGGCGAAGGCGGCGCCCCUGGCUCGCAACUGACGCUCAGACACGGCAGCAUGGGGAGCGAACGGG